Molecule: unclassified non-coding RNA, 275 nt
Filed under: uncultured fungus
Lineage: Eukaryota; Fungi
Description: partial contains 5.8S ribosomal RNA, internal transcribed spacer 2, and large subunit ribosomal RNA
Source: RNAcentral
AACGCACAUGGCGCCCCCCGGCAUCCCGGGGGGCAUGCCUGUCCGAGCGUCGUUUCAACCCUCGAGCCCACCACGUGGCCCGGCGUUGGGGAUCUGCGGCUCUGCCGCAGGCCCCGAAAUAGAGUGGCGGACCCGUUACGGCCCACCCUUGCGCAGUAAACAUCACUCGCAUCGGCGGCUCGCGGGCUCUCUCGCCUCUAAACCCCCCACCAAAGCCCGCCCCAGGCGGCACACAGGUUGACCUCGGAUCAGGUAGGAAUACCCGCUGAACUUAA